Molecule: small nuclear RNA, 131 nt
Organism: Pteronotus mesoamericanus
Lineage: Eukaryota; Metazoa; Chordata; Mammalia; Chiroptera; Mormoopidae
Source: RefSeq, a predicted model, not a curated record
GUGUUGAAUGAAAAGAGAGAAGGUUAGCACUCCCCUUCAUAAGGAUGGAAGAAGCCCUCGAAAGGGCCUAACAACAUGCAUAGGGUUACGGAGUUACCACUUAACUUCGUGGCAUCUAACUACUGUUUUUA